Molecule: ribosomal RNA, 233 nt
Filed under: uncultured bacterium
Lineage: Bacteria
Description: partial 16S ribosomal RNA
Rfam family: Bacterial small subunit ribosomal RNA
Source: RNAcentral
GAUCAUGGCUCAGGAUGAACGCUAGCUACAGGCUUAACACAUGCAAGUCGAGGGGCAGCAUCAUCAAAGCUUGCUUUGAUGGAUGGCGACCGGCGCGCGGGUGAGUAACACGUAUCCAACCUGCCGACAACACUGGGAUAGCCUUUCGAAAGAAAGAUUAAUACCGGAUGGCAUAGUUUUCCCGCAUGGGAUGACUAUUAAAGAAUUUCGGUUGUCGAUGGGGAUGCGUUCCA